Molecule: long non-coding RNA, 698 nt
Organism: Zeugodacus cucurbitae (melon fly)
Lineage: Eukaryota; Metazoa; Arthropoda; Insecta; Diptera; Tephritidae
Exons: 3
Source: RefSeq, a predicted model, not a curated record
CAAGAUGGCUUUCAAGUUCGGAAAGUGAGAGUGUGGCAGUAAAAAAGUGUGAGUGUGUGGCAACUUGAAAGCAAUUUCUUUCCCGUGUAACGUCCGGGUUAGAGAGAAAUGCACGUACUACAAUGAACCGUUCAAAAACCGCCUCCAUGGCCGCCAUCCAUAUGAAAAAAAAAGUUUAAGUGUGUAGUGUUAAGCCGUACUAUGUUUGACUAGGUGCUGCCGAGGGUUUUAAAGGAAUAUAAUUGCAGAAAAUGUUUUUUGGAAAACCAAACGAGCUGCAAGGCACAUCUGGUGCGUGGAAGCACACACAUGCAAAACCAAAAAUAGAAGCAGAACAAGGAUUAUGCCACUGGAGGCAGAUGGGUGAGUUGAUAAUAUCAAACCACCAGUAUCCGCUGGUGGAAGCUGCGAAAGGGGGAGGCCUCCACUCCAAUGGAAGGACCAGGUGGAGAAGGACCUAGCGCUCGUAGUCUUUUGUGUCAGAAAGUAACAAAAAUCGUGCACCAGAAGUACACACAAAUUAUACAACACAACAAGUAUUUUUGAAAUGCAAAACUAAAACAAAACAAUAAAUUCAGAGUAAAAGUCAAAAUCAUACAACGUAACCGGCAAAUAACAAGCAGUUUCACUACUUAUUUUCGACGUGCUAAACUCAGUGUCUCCGAUGAUGCCCUUGGAUCUACACAAUGGAUAGUUAA